GAGGUGACCAGUGGUGGCGGUGGGGGGUGGGGCCGGUGAGGGAGCAGUGCUAGGCCGGCCAAGGUGGCUGCCAGUGU
Molecule: microRNA precursor, 77 nt
Filed under: Myotis lucifugus (little brown bat)
Lineage: Eukaryota; Metazoa; Chordata; Mammalia; Chiroptera; Vespertilionidae
Description: miRNA (ENSMLUG00000021911.2)
Source: RNAcentral